This 4965-nucleotide long non-coding RNA is filed under the name Sus scrofa (pig). RNAcentral's name for it is "lncRNA (ENSSSCG00065068185.1)". The record is from RNAcentral. Lineage: Eukaryota; Metazoa; Chordata; Mammalia; Artiodactyla; Suidae.
GAUGAAGAUGCUUCAUCAAGCAGUUCUUCCCUCUGUUGGGGGUGUUAGUUACGCAGAAAGGCUCAAAGGUAUUGUUAUGUAUAUUCCUGACCAGGACGCGGCCCCAGGGCUUCACUGUGGUCUCCUAACAGCUCCCCUCUGUCUCUGCAUCCCAUCCCUUCCCUGAUGAGCAGCAGCUGCCCUUUGGAGCUCAGGGGAGGUCAGGGAGGCUGAGGCUUAUUCCCUAAAAGAAAGAAAUGGAGAGAGUUCCCGUCACGGCUCAGCAGAAACGAGUCUAGCAUCCAUGAGGUGAUGUCAGAAAGAUAACACCGGAAUCCAGGUUCCUGUUCACGGCAGCGGGAGAAUGAACUCCUCGAACACACAGGCAGCAAGCAAGCAAGGUUUUCAUUAAAGGAAAGCAGACAGCUCCCAGNGGGGGGGGGGGGGGGGGGGGGGGGGGGGGGGUAAGCCCCCCUUCUCUGUUGUCCCACAGAGGUUUUUAUCUCUUAAAGGUCGGGAGAGGCACCAACGUGGGGUCCAGAAAGAUGUGGUUUUCUCCUCCUGGCCUUAUUCAAUUACCUAUAUCAGUCCUUGUCCAGUAGGGCUUUUGGGGUUGGAAACAUCCUGAAAGUUCUAUGGGUUUUUUGUUUAUUUGUUUGCUUUGUCCUUUCUCCAUUCCUCUCAUUCCUUUUCUAUCAGUGGAGGAGUGGGCUAGGGAUUCGCAUUUUCUAUAGUAAACAAAGCCUUGGGGAAUGUGCAUUUCCUAUAAUGAAACAAGGCCUGUGGCGAUGUUACUCCUUAGAGCCCUUAAGCCACAAAUGUUAAUCAAUGGCCGUCUUAAAGAAGGCAUGGAAGUCCACGCUCCUUCACCGACUACCUGAGUUACUGUUCUGCCUCAAGGGCAGCUUCGAUCUCUGGCCUCACUCAGUGGGUAAGGAUCUGGCGUUGCCAUGAGCUGUGGUGUAGGUCGCAGACACGGCUCGGGUCUGACGUGGCUGCAGCUGCGAUUCUGUCUCCAUAAGCCGUGGGUGCAAGCCUGAAAAGACAGACAAAAGCAAAAAGACAAGAAACGGAGGACACAGGAAGGCCUGUGUGCCUAGGAGAUGAGCCCCGUUACAGGCUUGGAGCAGACUGAGAGCCAGCUAGGGACUUGGGGAAGCCUUGGACGUGGGCGGAGGGCCUAGAUGACGUGUGUGGCGUGGUGACCACGGAAGGUGGGGAGGGACUGGACAUUUGCACUGGCAGUGGGGACUGUGAAGCAAAGACAGAGGAUGAACUGUACGCGGCAGAACCAGCCUGAGAGCGGAGAGAGCAAGAAGGGCUGGCAGACCGCAUUCCUGGGGACACCAGGACCACAGACACUAUGGCUUAGUCUGGAGACAGACCAAGUGCUAGGAAUGGCCUGUGUUACAUGCUGUACGUGUUGAAACCCAGUGGGACACUUUGGGGUCUUGGGGAGGGGGGAGCAGGGACACAUACCAUCCCCCCUCUUCCUCAUGUCCUCUGCCAUUUAUUUAUUUGUUUAUUUAUAGAUUUAUUUAUUUAUUUAUUUGUGUCUUUUUAGGGCCGUACCUGUGGCACAUAGAGGUUCCCAGGCUAGGGGUCGAAUGGGAGCUGUAGCUGCCGGCUGGCCUGCAGCAUGGCCACAGCAAUGCCAGAUCUGAACCUCAUCUGUGAUCUAUGCAGUUGUAGCUCUGAUUGGACCCCUAGCCUGGGAACCUCCAUAUGCCACCGGUGUGGCUCUAAAAAGACAAAAAAAAAAAAAAAACCCAAAACAACCCCCCCACCCCCGCACCUCCCAAAGUCCCUUUAGUUGUCAGGCUGCUGGACUUGGAGCGAGGGGAGAAAAAACAUGAACUAUUAGGAAAUGAUUCCGAAAUAAUACUUUAUUAGCAAUAAAAACACUGUCUUUUUCUAUGCGUGUAGGCACCUUUGCCUUAUGCUCCCUUAGUUGACUCAGGCGAAUCAGGCUUCUUACAGACACAGAAGAAGACUCAGAUUUCUAAAUUGAAGCUCUUUCUAACACUAUUUUGAGCAGGAAAGAUAGUGCCUAGAGGUGGGUUUGUGUGAACCCAGGGUGAGGAAAUGGGGAGGAGGUUUACAAGUGCGAAGGGACCUCUCCUUUUCUUUGGGUAGCAGACGCAACCCCCUGGAACGGGUUCUGGGUGGGCCUGUCAAUCAACGUGCCCCUCCUCCAAGAAAAGGUUGAUCACAUGACCCACUCUAGGCCAAUCAGAUUCCCUCUCUGAAGUUGGUAUCGGGACUGGUGUGUUUGCACAGACUGAAUUGGGUCCUUUUUUUUUUUUUUUUUUUUUGGUCUCCUUGCCAUUUCUUGGGCCGCUCCCUGCGGCAUAUGCAGGUUCCCAGGCUAGGGGUCGAAUCGGAGCUGUAGCCACCGGCCUACGCCAGAGCCACAGCAACGCGGGAUCCGAUUCGCACCUACACCGCAGCUCACGGCAACGCCGGAUCGCCAACCCACUGAGCAAGCGCAGGGACCGAACCCACAACCUCAUGGUUCUUAGGUUCUUAGUCGGAUUCGUCAACCACUGCGCCACGACGGGAACUCCUUGAAUUGGUUCCUUUGAGGGCGGCAUCUUGAGCGGAAUCUGUUCAUUAUUUCCUGCUACCAAGAUGCUCACAGCGCCCUGUUUCCUCCUCAAGGCCUGAUCCUUCUUUGGAAUCCUGUCUUUGCAUUCUACCACUUGUCCUUCUAAAACAUUGCUUUUGGUUUAAGUCACCCAGAGUUAAUUUUUGUUCCUUUAGUCUAAAUAGCUCUACCAGGUACAGCAGUAGUACCAUGCUGCUUGGUAUUUUCUUUCUUUUGGGCAGCCUUCAUAUCCUAUGUAAAUACUAAUGUACAUUUGCUUGUUUGUAGAGAAAAAGCCCUUUUUCGACUGAACGCAAACUGGAGUCAGAUUCAACAGGUAAUAAAAAGUGUGGAAAAUCUGGAGUUCCCUUGGUAGCUCAGAGGUUAACAAAUCCCACUAGAAUCCUCAAGGAUGCAGGUUCAAUCUCUGGCUUUGCUCAGUGGGUUAAGGAUCUGGCAUUGCUGUGAGCUCUGGUGUAGGUUGCAGAUGCAGCUCGGAUCCUGCGUUGCUGUGGCUGUGGUGUUUGCUGGCAGCUGUAGCCUGAGAACCUCCAUGUGCUGCAGGUGUGGCCCUAAAAAGCGGAAAAAAAAAAUGUGAAGGAGUUCUUGUGGCUCAGUGGUUAAUUAAUCUGACUAGCAUCCAUACGGACGCGUGUUUGAUCCCUGGCCUUGCUCAGUGGGUUAAGGAUCUGGUGUUGCCGUGAGCUGUGAUGUAUGUCCCAGACUCAGCUCGGAUACCGAGUUGCUGUGGCUGGGAUGUAGGCUGGCAGCUGUAGUUCCGACUGGACCCCUAGCCUAGGAACCUCCAUAUGCCCAGGGUGCGGCCCUAAAAAGAAAAAAAGUAAAAGUGUAGGAAAUCUGACCGAGAUCACCAGGAGACAAUAGAUAGUUAGGAGAGAAAACGCAGGUGGGUUAAAAAGCUUAAUUGACCAAAAGCACUUUGGAGGGUGGAGAUCAGGUUAAGUUUGAUCCAUCUGUGGCCAGGAGAGUUUAGGGAGAACUCUAGUUGGGACAGGAAUAGAUGCAGAACUUCUUAGCCUCUUCCUGGGGCAGAGGAGUGUGUGUGCUGGAAAUGGGUUAAAGGUACUGGUACAGAUCCUAGGCUCCCUGUGUAAGGCUUUUCUCCCAACCUGGAUUGAUUGGACUCUGGAAUUGUUCUGUGUACUUGCCCUGUUUAUCAGGGUACAGAUUGUGUCCUGAUAAAUAAUUGCACCUGUUUAGUGGUAACUCUCUGUAUUCAGGAAAGUGACUUCAAUUUGUGACACUCUCAUUUGUUUAUUCAUUCAAUAAGUAUUUAUUGAGUGCUGAGUACCUAGUGGUACAGAAUAGUUUCAGUUCCUGUCCUGGAGAUAGUAACUGUAGAGAGAGGAGAACAGUAUUAAGAAAAUAAUUAAACAGAAAUCUGUAAUUACAAAUUGUGCCAAGUCCUAAAAUUACAGGCUGCAAUCAGGAUAUAACUGGCGAUGCUGUUUUACUAUCCAAGGAGGGGCAAUGGAGCAAGAUUUUGUUCCCAUAAAGAGGGUUCACAAACUUUUAUGCUGGUGGUAGGACCUUUGCAUUUUAUCCAAGAGGCUUUGUCUUUCAUUUUCGUGAACUCACAUUAAAAUAUAAUAUAGACUCUGUAAGAUGGAGUAUAUUUUUGUGUUGACUUGUGUGUAAUAGGUUGUAACUGAAAACUGAAGGCAAGCUUUCUUGGGCCAAUUGGUGAACACUAAAUCUAGUUUAGAGACAGGGAUAUAAAUUAAUUUUUAAGAGAAAAUGAUUUAAGUAUAAUAUAAUGUUGUGUCUGACGGUGCAGAAAGAACGGAUAACCAGGCUAAUUCAUGAGCACCUAAUAGGGCUUUGGCGAUCUAAACUGUCAUACCACGUGUUGAUGUAGCUGAAUUCCCUAAACAUAUCUGUUAUUCUGAAAGAAAAGACGAAAUCUCCCCUUUUUAACAUUUGUUCAAUAUUUUGGUCCUUUGACCAUUUGCUGAAGACCAUUAAGUGCAAGAUACUCUGUGAGGUAUACUGUAACUACCAGAAUGCACAUGGAAUCAUCUAGAAUGGCACAAUUUUGCAACCUAGUGGAAUCGACAGGGGGCAUAAAUAAGACGUUAGACUGGCAAUCAUCCUGCGUGGCUAGUUGAGAAGCCUUUGAAAGAAUGCUUUAGGCGCCAUCUGGUGGUCAGCAUUAGGAAUGCAUUGAAUUCAACUCACCUUCCACUUGCCAGAUUGUUUAAAAAGUUUAUCAGAAAAAAAACCCCCAAAACCUCGUAAAAGGUAUUCCUGCUGUGGUGCGGUGGGUUAAGGAUCCAGCGUUGCCAUAGCUGUGGCAUAGAUUGCAGCUGCAUCUGGGAUUCCAUCCCUGGCCUGGGAACUUCCAUAUGCUGUGGGUGUGGCCAAAAAAAAAAAAAAAA